This 89-nucleotide transfer RNA is filed under the name Undibacterium pigrum. RNAcentral's name for it is "tRNA-Ser". It matches the Rfam family "tRNA". From Rfam's summary of the family: Transfer RNA (tRNA) molecules are approximately 80 nucleotides in length. The record is from RNAcentral. RNAcentral also lists the same sequence under 1 other name. Lineage: Bacteria; Pseudomonadati; Pseudomonadota; Betaproteobacteria; Burkholderiales; Oxalobacteraceae.
GGAGAUGUGGCCGAGUGGCCGAAGGCACUUCCCUGCUAAGGAAGCAUUUGGGGUAACCUGAAUCGUGAGUUCGAAUCUCACCAUCUCCG